GAUGAAGAACGCAGCGAAAUGCGAUACGUAAUGUGAAUUGCAGAAUUCAGUGAAUCAUCGAAUCUUUGAACGCACAUUGCGCCCGCCAGUAUUCUGGCGGGCAUGCCUGUUCGAGCGUCAUUUCAACCAUCAAGCCCCAGGCUUGUGUUGGGGACCUGCGGCUGCCGCAGGCCCUGAAAACCAGUGGCGGGCUCGCUGUCACACCGGGCGUAGUAGAUUUUAUCUCGCUCAGGGCGUGCUGCGGGUUCCGGCCGUUAAAAAGCCUUUUUUACCCAAGGUUGACCUCGGAUCAGGUAGGAAUACCCGCUGAACUUAAGCAUAUCAAUAAGCGGAGGA
RNAcentral lists this unclassified non-coding RNA (336 nucleotides) under soil metagenome. RNAcentral's name for it is "partial contains 5.8S ribosomal RNA, internal transcribed spacer 2, and large subunit ribosomal RNA". The stretch from base 1 to 120 matches the Rfam family "5.8S ribosomal RNA", at positions 35 to 154 of the family's 154-position model. The record is from RNAcentral.